This 462-nucleotide ribosomal RNA is filed under the name Ligilactobacillus murinus. RNAcentral's name for it is "Lactobacillus murinus partial 23S ribosomal RNA". It matches the Rfam family "Bacterial large subunit ribosomal RNA", at positions 2466 to 2925 of the family's 2925-position model. Lineage: Bacteria; Bacillati; Bacillota; Bacilli; Lactobacillales; Lactobacillaceae. The record is from RNAcentral.
CCCUGGGGAUAACAGGCUUAUCUCCCCCAAGAGUCCACAUCGACGGGGAGGUUUGGCACCUCGAUGUCGGCUCAUCGCAUCCUGGGGCUGUAGUCGGUCCCAAGGGUUGGGCUGUUCGCCCAUUAAAGCGGUACGCGAGCUGGGUUCAGAACGUCGUGAGACAGUUCGGUCCCUAUCCGUCGCGGGCGUAGGAAAUUUGAGAGGAUCUGUCCUUAGUACGAGAGGACCGGGAUGGACAUACCGCUGGUGUACCAGUUGUUCUGCCAAGGGCAUCGCUGGGUAGYUAUGUAUGGAUGAGAUAAACGCUGAAAGCAUCUAAGUGCGAAACUCACCUCGAGAUAAGAUUUCCCAUUCCUUUAUGGAAGUAAGACCCCUGAGAGAUGAUCAGGUAGAUAGGAUGGAAGUGGAAGUACGGUGACGUAUGGAGCGGACCAUUACUAAUCGGUCGAGGACUUAACCAAG